GUCUCGCCGGAGCCACCACCCGCUGCAUCAGGGACCCAACGCCAUGGUCGUCGCCCCGUUGCUCCGAGACCAGCCGCCCUUCCCUGCCUGAGCCAUCGCGCCGGCCGGCCAGGCCGUGCCCCGCCGUUUCCUUUCUCUCCGCCAGAUCCGUCGCCCGGAGACCCAUGCCCCAUCGUUCCUGCGCGCCGUCAGGAGGACAACAUGGAUGCCCGAGCUCGUCGUCCCCGACCUCUUUUCUGCCAAGAUCUGCCCCGCCGUCGUGGUUCCCCGGCGCCCGGACCUCCCCUGCUUCGCCAAGGCCACCAAGACCUCCUCAACUGUGCAAUGCCGCCGGCCACCUCUCCGAGCAGAGCCGCCGGACCAGCAGCUUGCCGCUGCCGCCUGGAACCAGCCCGACCCGACGAACCUCGCCGGGAUCCCGUGCCGUUCAUGUCCCUGGCCGUUUUCCUGCUCCGCUUCGGUCAAGGAGGACGACCCCAGCGCCAAGUCCCCUGCUCCAGAUCGAGCCGCAGCGCUCGCGUUGACUGUGUCGCCAGCCACCAUCUCGCCAAGCCCACCGGUCCCGCAGGGCCCAGCCGCUGCCGCUUCUCGGCUGGCCCAGCCCUGCUUCGGCCUGCCCGUGCCUCGUCCGUCACCGUUG
This is a long non-coding RNA of Aegilops tauschii subsp. strangulata, 640 nucleotides long. RefSeq lists it as uncharacterized. The record is from RefSeq and is a predicted model, not a curated record. NCBI's taxonomy places the organism in Eukaryota, Viridiplantae, Streptophyta, Magnoliopsida, Poales, Poaceae.